This 106-nucleotide ribosomal RNA is filed under the name Caerostris darwini. The record is from RNAcentral. Lineage: Eukaryota; Metazoa; Arthropoda; Arachnida; Araneae; Araneidae.
AAUAUCAUGCUGAAUAUACCGGUUCUCGUUAGAUCACCGAAGUUAAGCAUCAUUGGGCGCGGUCAGUACUUGGGUGGGUGACCACCUGGGAACACCGCGUGCCGUU